AUUGAACGCUGGCGGCAUGCCUUACACAUGCAAGUCGAACGGCAGCACGGGUGCUUGCCCCUGGUGGCGAGUGGCGAACGGGUGAGUAAUACAUCGGAACAUGUCCUGUAGUGGGGGAUAGCCCGGCGAAAGCCGGAUUAAUACCGCAUACGAUCUACGGAUGAAAGCGGGGGACCUUCGGGCCUCGCGCUAUAGGGUUGGCCGAUGGCUGAUUAGCUCGUUGGUGGGGUAAAGGCCUACCAAGGCGACGAUCAGUAGCUGGUCUGAGAGGACGACCAGCCACACUGGGACUGAGACACGGCCCAGACUCCUACGGGAGGCAGCAGUGGGGAAUUUUGGACAAUGGGCGAAAGCCUGAUCCAGCAAUGCCGCGUGUGUGAAGAAGGCCUUCGGGUUGUAAAGCACUUUUGUCCGGAAAGAAAUCCUUGGCCCUAAUACGGUCGGGGGAUGACGGUACCGGAAGAAUAAGCACCGGCUAACUACGUG
Molecule: ribosomal RNA, 486 nt
Filed under: uncultured bacterium
Lineage: Bacteria
Description: partial 16S ribosomal RNA
Rfam family: Bacterial small subunit ribosomal RNA
Source: RNAcentral